CUUAAAUAUUUCCUGAGUGUUUACAAGGUGUGAGGCUUGAGGGAGAGUAGACUCUCAUUUUGCUCUAGAAAGCAGAUUUCUAAAGAAAUGAUUUACAGUAAAGAGUGAUCAUUGUAAUGACAGUUCUGGAUGGUACAAAGAAGUGGGAAGAUGAGAAGACAGUGAGGAAAGGCUUCCUGCAAAAGAAUCUAGCAAUGAAGACAUCUCUUCUCCAGUUUCAAGAUUUAGAAUAUAGGUAAGCAAUGCAAUUCCUAUAAAACAUCUCUCCAUUUACCUUUUCUUUCUUUCUUGUUUC
Papio anubis (olive baboon) is the source of this 295-nucleotide long non-coding RNA. Lineage: Eukaryota; Metazoa; Chordata; Mammalia; Primates; Cercopithecidae. The record is from Ensembl.